Molecule: non-coding RNA, 9066 nt
Organism: Homo sapiens (human)
Lineage: Eukaryota; Metazoa; Chordata; Mammalia; Primates; Hominidae
Source: RefSeq, a predicted model, not a curated record
UUGACUCAAUCUAGAAAGGAAUAGUAACAGCUUAUAUUGCUUUUGAAACUGGCUGAUAGCAUGUGAUCAACAGUCCCAAGAGAUGGACACCAUUAAUUUUUACAAAUAAGGAACAGACUCACAGAGUUUGAGAAACUUUGGGAUCACUCAACUAGUAGGAGUUCAGUCCGGAUUUAGAACAAGGGACUAUCUGCUUUUAGAGCCCAAGACCUUAACAUCUCAUUCCUCAACUCAUUAAAUGCGGAAGGUUCACUAACCACGUGCAGGGCGGGGUGCUAGCCCCUGGGGAUACAAAAUGAUCAAGAAAAGGACGCCAUCAUACUAAAUCAGUAAAGGAAACAGAUAAAGAAAUCCUCAUAAAACAGCGGAUUGGGUGGGACGAUAACAAUCUGUGCUUGGUACAGAGGUAGCUCCUGGGAAGGGAAGAACUCAGACCCAGAAAUCAGAAACGCAAACUGGCAGUGGCAGGCGAACCUGACGCCUGCAGGGCUGCGGCGAAACCGCGUAUGCCACACCGAGGGAAUGGCAGCUGGAAAGAGAGGCACGCGACAGGCCUAAGGAGACCCGUGGCACGUAGCAGCUGCCCCCGGAACAGCGCCUGGGGGCUCUGCAGGCGCUGACCAGUUUCCCGGAGGCGGCGGCCGCGGACCCAGCACGGUCACCGUCGCCGCUGCCGAGAAGAGCCGUCGGGUCGCGAUGGGUGGACAGGCCUUCCGGGGGAGCGUCGCCCGGCACAUACCCUGACAGUCCCGACCGCAGACGCCAGGGAUGGGACAGGCUCCCGGGGAGCAUCUCCUGUUCCUCCUCCCUGACCGGCCUUCUUAGGCGCUGGGGAGGGGCCGGACUCCCGAGAAGCGUCCACUCGGCCACCCUCCCCGGCAGGCCCGACUUCAGACGCCGCGCGCCGGGACAGAGCGCCCGGGGAGGGUCCCCAACGCAGAUGCCCGGUUGCUGGGCGCGAGGGGCUCGGCCCCUGAAAAGGCCGCAGAACUGCGCUGGAAAUGAAUAAAAGCAGCCCGGUUUGAAACCAAGGCCGACGCAGGGCUUGGGAGGAGAGGCAAAGGAAAACCCUUACCUCAUGAUGGCAGCGCUCUGCAGGCCGUCCGGGCGGCGCAGUCCCUCGGAUCGCUCUCUCCUCAGCACCGGGGACCGCGGGAAGCCGCGCGGUGGGCGUGCGCGUGCGCGUGCGCGCGCCAGGCCUCUGCAGCCCCUGGACUCGGCCGCGCGGCGUGUCUUUGUUAAAGGAGAGACCCCAGCCCCAGCAAGAACAGGAAACUGGAGAUUGAAUCAGAUGCCGAGCGCUCAGAAACUGAAACUUAAGAAAUCGAAACUAAACGUAAGCUUCAGAAACCGAAACUUAAUAGAAGAGCUCAAGAGCCGCGGCCAGACGUUUGCGGAGUCCAGGGUCUUUCGGAGUUGAAUUUGCAGCUGGGCUCCUUCACUUUGGUCUCGGCUUUUAUCUGCCUCCCUGAUAGGUUUUUGGUCUUGGUGACUUCAAGAAUGAAGCUGCGGACUCUCGCUGUGAGUGCUACAGUUGUUAAAGAUGGCGUGUCUGGAGUUUGUUCCUUUCGAUGUUCAGAUGUGUCUGGAGUUUCUUCCUUCUGGUGAGUUCGUGGUCUUGCUGACUUCAGGAGUGCAGCUGCAGACCUUCACAGUGAGUGUUACAGAUCUUAAAGGUGGCGCGUCCGGAGUUGUUCGUUCCUCCCGGUGGGUUCGUGGUUUCACUGACUUCAGGAGUAAAGCCGUAGACCUUUGUGGUGAGUGUUACAGCUCAUAAAGGCAGUGUGGACCCAAAGAGUGAGCAGCAGCAAGAUUCGUUGCGAAGAGCGAAAGAACAAAACUUCCACGACGUGGAAGCAGACCCGAGCAGGUUGCCGCUGCUGGCUGGGGUGGCCUGCUUUUAUUCCCUUAUUUGGCUCCACCCAUAUCCUGCUGAUUGGUCCAUUUUACAGAGAGCUGAUUGGUCCACUUUACAAAGUGCUGAUUGGUCCAUUUUACAGAGUGCUGAUUGGUCCAUUUUACAGAGUGCUGAUUGGUCCAUUUUGACAGAGUGCUGAUUGGUGCGUUUACAAACUUUUAGCUACACACAGAGUGCUGAUUGGUGCGUUUACAAUCCUUUAGCUAGACAGAAAAGUUCUCUGAGUCCCCACCUGACCCAGAAGCCCAGCCAGCUUCACCUCUCAAUCCCCCCUCUAAACAGGACACCCCAAUUGCUGAUGGGAAUUUGGCUGAUGACUGCUCUAGCUACUUUCUGCUGGAUAGGGGCGAAGAAGGGGCCCUGUAGGUGUAGUGUCCUCCAGAGGGGAACUCUUUAGGCCAGUGGAAGGGCCAGCAGGUCAGUCCAGGGGUCCUCGGUAGAAGUUGUUAGUUGAACUCAUUUGGGGUUCCAUUUGUAAGACCAUCUGUAGCUUGAGGGCCUCAAUUCUAGAGGAAACAAAUUUGACAAGAAGGUUAAAAACACAGGGCCCAAAGACAAGUAACAGCAAGAUGGCUGCCACAGGACCUAGAAAGGGGAGAAGCCAUGUUGCCCAACUCCAGAGGUUGGUAUAAGAGUUUGAAAGGUGUUGUCUGAUUUCAGAAGCCUUUUCCUGUAAACACCGGGUGGCAUCUCGUGCUAUCCCUGACUGGUUAGUGUAAAAACAACACUCUUCCCCUAAGAAGCUGCACAGUCCUCCUUUCUCAGCAGUGAGGAGGUCUAGGCCUUGGCGAUUUUGGAGAGUCGCUGCUGCCAAAGAGUCUGUUUGGGAUUGUAGAGUAAGGAUAGAUUUCAUUAUUUCAUGCAAACUGUCUGAGAAAUCCUUUGAGAGUGUAUGGUAGUAGGAUAAUGCAUGUUACACUGUUAACUUUUAGCAAACUUUACGUUAGUUGAAAACCUUGUAAGUUUGGGAUUUCAAUUAUUCUUUGCUAUUAGUAAGACCUCGUUCAGUCCAUAUUAACUUAGAAUUGGUAUAGAUGGCUCCUUCCUGAUUCUGUAAGUAUUUUAAGGUUUGGCUGAGUGCAAACAGCUGACACAUUUGAGCAGACCAAUUAUUAGGCAAUUUUCCUAACACUGCUUCUACAAGAGUUUCCUUAUUAUUUACUGAAUACCCAUUGUGUUUUUUUUUUCCUUAAUUGCCCAGGAGGAACCAUCUAUCCGUCCUGUCCUGAAGGGAGUUCCUCCUAGAUCUGGUCAGACCUUUGUAUGGGAAUUAAUUAAGAUUUAGAUCCCCUGUUAGGAAACCUGCUGGGUAAGGAUUUUUGAUAGGAAGGCUACUGGUUGUCAGUGGCCUCAGUGCUUUCAGGCUACGCCCUUGUUUACACUGACAGCAAGGUGGUAUUGGAGUGUUAUAGGGUUUCUGAGAAGACCUUCAGUUAUCAAUUAUAGGUUUUAAAUUUACCCUGGCUUUUAAAGGAAUAGGGUACACUGUUUUUUCUUUACUACUUCUAUCUCUCUCUUUGACUUCUUCGUCUCUCUCUUCCUCUCUCUGUCUCUCUCUCUCUGACUUUCUGUCUCUUUCUUGCUUUCCUUUCUGCUGGUGUUUCCCUGCCUCUGCCAGUGGCUUAUGCUGCUGUUCUUCCCUCUCCUUCACCUUUUGAUGGCUUCAGCAGUGUAAGACUGCCACCUCCUUGGGUUUUUGCACCGCGUGCAAUAACUCCGUGGUUUCCCUGUGUUAUUUAAUGGGGGUUCCCCCAGAGGUUAGGAACUCCCUUUCUUUCCAUAUUGCAGCAUGGGCAUGUAGGAUUAGAUAAGCAUGGUUGCUCUCUGUAUACACAUUUAUUGCUUUUUCCUUUCCCAGUUCUAAGGCUCGGGUAAGUGCCACUAGUUCUCCUAACUGGGUGCUGGUCCCUGGGGGAAGAGGCUUACUUUCAAGUAUGGUUACAUCGCUAAAUAUGGCAUAAUCUGUCCUUUGUAUCCCAUUCUCCAUAAAUGAACUUCCAUCGGUAUAUAGGUUAAGGUCAGGAUUAGCUAAGGGGACUUCUAAGGGAUCAUCUCGGGCAGCAUAAGUCUGGACUAAUUUGUUGGCAGUCAUGCUCAAUUGGUUCCCCAACCUCUGGGAGAAAAGUGGCAGGGUUGAGGGCCACGCAUAUAGGUAUUUGAAGCACUGGUCCCUCAAGGAGUAGCACCUGGUAUCUAAGUAGGCAGUUGUCUGAUAGCCAUAAACUUCCUUUGGCACCUAGUAUGCCAUUUACAUCAUGAGUAUCCAGACAGUGAGACCCUUUCCUUAUAUUAUUUUGAUAGCCUCUGACACUAAGAUGGCCACUGCCACAACUACCCUUAAACAGUGAGGCCAGCCUUUUGCUACUAUAUCAGUUUCCUUACUUAGGUAUGCCACUGGUCAUGGGGUUGUCCCACGAGUCUGAGUAAGGACCCCAGGAGCUAUUUCUGCUUUCUCUGUGAUGUUUAAAGAAAAGUUUCAUCCUUUGGGAAGGCUUAAGGCUAGAGCUUGAGUUUGUUUCUUCCAAUGCCCAGACUUCAGGGUUGAUUCCCCUCUCAAGUAGGGGACAACAAAUGGGUAACUUAUUCCUCAUAUUCGUUUAGAUAAUAGCUCCAGCUUUGGCUAAUAUAUCCCUCCCUAAUAAGGGUGUGGGACUUUCAGGCAUAACAAGAAAGACAUGUGAAAAGAGCAAAGUCUCCCAAUUACAUCUGAGGAGGUGGGAGAAACACCUGGUUACAGGCUGUCCCAGGAUUCCUUGGAUGGUAAUGGAACUUGAGGACAGCUGUCCAGGACAGGAGAUUAACACUGAGAAAGCUGCACCAGUGUCCAGGAGGAAGUCAAUUUCCUGCCCCUCAAUGGUUAUACAUACCUGGGGCUCAGUGAGAGUGAUGACAUGAGCUGGUGCUUGCCCCAGGCACCCUCAGUCCUGUUGUUGGAUCAUCUGGUUGGGGGCUUCUGUCCCAGAGAACCUUUGUCCUCUGGGGCAGUGUGCCUUCCAGUGAUUGCUUUGGCAUAGUGGACAUGGGUGAGGGGGCAGCUUGUUUGGACAGUCUUUUUUAAAGCGUCCUUGUAAACCACACUGAUAACAAGCCCUACCGGGUGAUUGGCAUGCUCCAUUUUCUGUCCUCUCUGAACCACCAAGGUUUGUUUGUCUGAGGGCCACGACUAAGGCUGCGGUCUUUCUCUGAUCUCGCUUUUCCUUUUCGGCCUGUUCCUCUUGGUCCCUAUUAUAGAACACCGAGGUUGCCAGGUUUAAUAAUGCCUCCAAAUUUUGUUCAGGGCCCAGGGCUUGCUUUUGGAGCUUUCUCCUGAUAUCUGUGGCUGAUUGGGUAAUAAACUUAUAUUUUAGAAUCAAUUGACCCUCUAGUGAUUCAGAUGACAGGGGAGCAUAUUUUCUUAAGGCCUCCCGUAGCCGCUCAAGGACGGCAGAAGGAUUUUCUUCCUUUCCCUUAGUUAUGGUGGACAUCACUGAAUAAUUCGUGGGCUUUUUCCUAAUUCUCCUUAGUCCUUCUAGAACACAGGUCAACAGAUGUUUACGACUCCAGUCCCCAUGAUCUGAGUUGAGGUCCCAGUGGGGAUCCAUAAUGGGGAUGGCUUGCUGACCAGUAAGGAAUUUGUCCCUUUCUUGGGCUGUCAUUCUAUCAUUUAUCUGACUAAGAUACCAGGUAUCUCCAAACUCUCAGGCUGCAGCUAAAGCCACAUUCUUUUCAUUAAAGGCCAGGGUUUGAUCUACCACUAGCAUGACAUCUCUCUAAGUGAGAUGGAAGGUUUCCCCUAGGCCCUGUAGGACAUCUGUGUACCUAUCAGGAUCAUCUGAAAACUUCUCCAGGUCUGCCUUGAUCUGCUUUAAAUCAGAGAGGGAGCAGGGGACAUGUACCCAGGUUGGGCCAAAUUCCCCUCCCCCUACAGCUUGAAGGGUACAUAACCAAUAGCCCUGGGGUUUUUGUGGUCCUUUGGAGAUUUCUUUGCUUAUUUCCUUCUGGGCAGGGAAGAUUAGAGGAGGCUUAUCAUUAAUAGGAAGGGGAGCUAUAGGAAGGCUAGGAUAUGGGGAUAAGCUGAAAGGUCCUCCUGUGGGAUGUAAAUUGCAAGCUUUGCAUAGUUGUGUAUUUUCCUUCAAUGAAAAGAAAGCUUGGACAUAAGGUAUUUCACUCCAUUUGCCUUCCCUCUUACAGAAAAUAUCAAGCUGAAGGAUAGUAUUGUAAUUUAUACUUCCCUCAGGUGGCCAUUUUUCCCCAUCAGAGAGAGAAUAUUGGGGCCAGGCCAUAGCACAGAAAAAAAUGAGCCACCUCUUUUUCAGGGUUUGCAGGUCAAAUUGGUCCCAAUGGCUUAGGAUGCAUUUCAAGGGUGAGCCUGUUGAUACCUGAGUGUUUUCCUUCUGAAAGACAAAACCACCCAUGGUUUUGGUUUGUUUGUUUCUCCCCCUGCCCAAGAACCCGCAAUGGUCUCUGGACCCUGCUGAUCAGAAUAGUUGCACUCACUGAUGCAGCAGCAGAAACACCUCUUGCCCAAGAACCCGCAAUGGUCCCUGGACCCUGCUGAUUGGAAUAGUUGCACUCACCAAUGCAGCAGCAGAAACACUAGUUUUCCUCCUAGACCACAAGGAGGACUGAGGAAGGUUGGAUUUAGUGGCCCUUACCUACACAUUCUCGAAAACCUGCACCCUUGCCUGUCCUCCUAGACCACAAAGAGGACCGAGAAAAAUCGGACUUAGCGGCCCUUACCGACGCAUUCUCUAAAACCUGUUAGAGUCCUAAGCAUUCUCCUGUUGGUAUUGGGACCUUACCUGUGUCCUAUAAAGAUGUUAUGCCCCAAAAAUGAAGUAGAGGGCCAUACCCUGAGGGAGGGAAGGGAGCUCCAGAGUUGGAAGCGUAAUGCCUUUUGUCUUCAUUUAUAUGAAUAGGAAGGAUACAAUUUCUGAGGCUCCCCAUAUUCUAGCUUCAGGAAUAGCUUUUGUUAGGCCUGCUUGUCUGAGGAGGGAUCCUAAAAUUCCAGAUAGUCCCCCAUACGAUGGGGCUUUGGGCAAAAAUUAUGUCUUUCUCAUUGGUGAGCCUGGGUGCCUAAAGAUGGUAACAGAGUCCGGAAGUUUAUACUAGAAAUCAUUCUUAUAGGGGAAACUAGAAAAGCACCAGAGACAGGGAGUGGUUUUUAGAAGCGGGACUAGCCUCGGAGAAGAGAAGCAAGAGGAAGUUUGUCUGGCAGGCAUUAGGACCCAGGAGGCAAGGGUUAGGGUAGAUAGAAUAGAUAGGUGAGUCUCACUUGGGCGACAUGACUUUGAGAGUUUCACUCAUGGCCGCAGGGUCAAUGAACUUGUUGUCAGGACCCCAGAGCUGAAUGGCUUUCCUCCCUGUCAACCCUUGGUUCAGCCUGGAAGUACAGGAAUAAUGGAAGCUGGUUCCAGGCAAACCAACGCUCCCAACUCCAAAGAGUUGGGGGUUGUUAGAGAGCCCUUUCCCAGAAAGCCUGACACCCGUGUCUUUAGUCUGGCGGCCACACUAGUUGCUUUUAACUGGUCGACAGGUGCCCAGUAUUUAGCCCCCGAAUUCUAAGGAAAAAUAGGAUGAAUAGCAAGUGAAAGGGGUCCGAUGGUACUCACUGCUUGGCGAUAGGUGAUAGGCGAUAGUCCCUUCGUGGUCACCAAAAUUUGUCUGGAAUUGGUUCCUUCCAGUGGGUUCUUGGUCUCGCUGACUUCAAGAAUGAAGCUGCGGACCCUCACAGUGAGUGUUGCAGUUCUUAAAGGUGGUGUGUCCAGAGUUUGUUCCUUUCAAUGUUCAGAUGCAUCCAGAGUUUCUUCCUUCUGGUGGGUUUGUGGUCUUGCUGACUUCAGGAGUGAAGCUGCAGACCUUUGCAGUGAGUGUUACAGGUCUUAAAGGUGGUGUGUCGGGAGUUGUUUGUUCCUCCUGGUGGGUUUGUGGUCUCGCUGGCUUCAGGAGUGAAGCCGUAGACCUUCGUGGUGAGUGUUACAGCUCAUAAAAGCAGUGCAGACCCAAAGAGUGAGCAGCAGCAAGAUUUAUUGAAAGAGCGAAAGAACAAAACUUCCACAGCAUGGAAGGGGACCCGAGCGGGUUGCCGCUGCCAGCUCGGGUGGCCUGCUUUUAUUCCCUUACUUGGCCCCACCCACAUCCUGCUGAUUGGUCCAUUUUACAGAGAGCUGAUUGGUCCAUUUUACAGAGUGUUGACUGGUCCAUUUUACAAUACUUUAGCUAGACAGAAAAGUUCUCCAAGUCCCCACCCAACCCAGAAGCCCAGCCGGCUUCACCUCUCAAUGGGAUGAUCUGUUGGUGAUGGGAUGAUCUGUUCAGCAAACCGCCAUGGCACACGUUUACCUGUGUAACAAACCUGAACAUCCUGCACAUGUACCCUUGAAUUUAAAAUAAAAGUUGAAGCAAAAAAUGUAUUUCCAACGAAAAUAUAGCAUUUAAUGUGAGAUGUGCCAUAAUCUCUGUCCUACCUUCUUAAGGGCAAUGGAUGAAAUCAGUAUCUACUGGAAGGAGUAAAAAUAUUAAAUAAUUGAAGCAAAAUGGAUUGGAAGCCCAAAAUUUGGAGAUUUUCUUGGGGUGCUCUGUGGUAAGAAUAAUGCCCCCCCCGCAAUCGUAUCCAUGGCCAAGUCUCCAGAACCUGUGAACAUGCUACUUUACAUAGCAAAAGGGACUUUGCAGAUGUUAUUAAAUUAAGGAUUUGCGGAUGGGGCAAUUAUUCUGGAUUAUGCAGGUGGACCUGGUGCGUCCUUAGAAGAAAGAGGCAAAAGAGUCAGAGGAGAGAAGGAGAUGUGAAGAAGGAAGCAGAGAGAGAGAUUUGAGGCUACUACACUGUUGGUUUUUAAGAUGGAUGAAAGAAUUCAGGCAGCCUCUGGAAGCUGGAAAAGGCUAUCUGCCUAGAGCCUCCGGAGGAGUGUAGCGUCAUCAAUACCUUGACUUUGGCUCAUUGAAACCCAUUUCAGACUUCUGACCUCCAGAACUGUAAGAAAGAGUAAAUCUGUGAAAUUUUAAGUCACCAAGUUUGUGGUAAUUUGUUACAGCCACUAAAAGAAACUAGUAUAUUCCCCCCAAAACAUAUACAGAAUGAAAGAUCAAUAACAUUGCUUAUUUAUUUUUUCCUUCUUAUUAUUUGUUGUGCCUUGCCUUUCAAUAAAAUAUGAUUAUUCAUAAUCAAA